AACGAACGCUGGCGGCAUGCCUAACACAUGCAAGUCGAACGAGACCUUCGGGUCUAGUGGCGCACGGGUGCGUAACGCGUGGGAACCUGCCCUCAGGUUCGGAAUAACUCCCCGAAAGGGGUGCUAAUACCGGUUAAUGUCUUCGGACCAAAGAUUUAUCGCCUUUGGCUGGGCCCGCGUUGGCUUAGCCCGCUGGUAGGGUAAAAGCCUACCAAGGCGACGACCCAUAGCUGGUCUGAGAGGAUGAUCAGCCACACUGGGACUGAGACACGGCCCAGACUCCUACGGGAGGCAGCAGUGGGUAAUAUUGGGCAAUGGGCGAAAGCCUGAUCCAGCAAUGCCGCGUGAGUGAUGAAGGCCUUAGGGUUGUAAAGCUCUUUUACCCGGGAUGAUAAUGACAGUACCGGGAGAAUAAGCUCCGGCUAACUCCGUG
Molecule: ribosomal RNA, 433 nt
Filed under: uncultured bacterium
Lineage: Bacteria
Description: partial 16S ribosomal RNA
Rfam family: Bacterial small subunit ribosomal RNA
Source: RNAcentral